Pseudoliparis swirei is the source of this 1917-nucleotide long non-coding RNA. RefSeq lists it as uncharacterized. The record is from RefSeq and is a predicted model, not a curated record. The transcript has 2 exons. Lineage: Eukaryota; Metazoa; Chordata; Actinopteri; Perciformes; Liparidae.
GUUAGGCUUUUUAAUCCGGCCCGCCGAACUUGUCCAAAUCGCAGUUUUGUUUACUUCCGGUGUGCGUUGGCGCGGAAAGAACUCGUCACACGAAACCCUUCACCGUGAUUUGUCAAUUCGUUUGUCUGUCAACAUUUUGCGAAAAAAACAACCAAUGAACACUCAGUAAAUCACAAAGGACCCGCCCACCACACAGGUGAGGCUCAUUUAGAAACAGCCGCAGUGAUUUUGGCGAGCAGCGCGGAGCCUGGAGGAGCUGCGGAGCCACGAGGAGGAACACGCAGCCAGAAGAGGUCCACUUGGACCGGAGAGGAUUCACCAGCGCCUGCAGCUCCACCUGCCCGGCCAGCAGAGAGGUCUCGUGACACGAUGACAUGAUGUUAUUAUAGUGAAGCCAUAUUAUAAAUAGUCAAUAGUUGUGUUCUGUUUAUUUCUCAACAUGUAUAUAAUGUAGAUUUUUUUAUUUUUAAUGUACAAUACAUAUUUAUAUAUAAAAAAUAAAAUAAAACGUAAUGGUCAUUUUUUGUUUGCACACACCCCAUGAAACUUUAUCUGCAAUAUGAAGUAAUUUCUCAGUCCCAUCUUUAUCAUUUUGGUGAAUGUGUGACAGACCACAUCAUUUCUACUCAAAAAACGAUAAUCCAAAAUUUGGUUUUCCACAUUUAUUUACAUGUAUCUAGCAUUAUAUUCAGAUAUUUCACUGCUCUUGUGAACCUAUGACCUUUGGUAAACCAAUUUCAAACACCAAAACAGUUCGUCCACGAGUAAAGGUGUGUUUUCAGAAGAGAUAUGAAGAAUUUUUAAAAAUCGAACUUCAAUUGUCAGCUUUAGGGUCAUAUUUUCUCGAGUAAAGCGCUGUCAGUCUGUUUGUGACGGGUUCAUACACAUGCUGACCAGAUGACGCCGCACAUCGCCCUCAAUUUAAAGACCCCUUUCUAGUUUCUGCUGCAGGCAGGAUAUUUAAUACUCUCAGGACAAUCCGUCCAUUAUUUUGCGGGGUUUAAAACAAUUAGAAAUUAUUGAGCUUGAUUAUUUCGUUGGGUAAUAAUUUGUUUUUAAUGUUGAAAGUGCUUCCAUUGAUCGCUUUCCAGUAAAUGUUGAUUUCUUUAACUUUGCACCUUCAAUUGAAAUGUAUAAAAAACAGACGCAAUCUCCAGGUUUGAUAAAUUACAUUGCGUGUCCAAAUGCUCCUGGCCCGGCCCCUCUGUCAAAUGUUAGAACCGAUUGUGACCCGCAAGUCAAAAAGUUUGCCCACCCCUGGUCUAGGGGUUAAAGAUGUUAGUACAUGUGAAGGCGACAGGAGGGUUUUAAAUAUCUAAAACACAACUGGACCAGAACACUUGGAGCCGCUACACAUAUUUAUUUCCAUCAGGUGUUCACAUUGACAUUAAAACCUCCCACUAACAGAACAUUCAACAACAUUCAGCAGGGUUCACUCUGUUAGGCGCGGGGGCGGAGCCUGAACUCAGGAAACAUCGAACAUCAGAUAUUUAGUUUGGGAUAAACACGUGGAAAUAUAGGAAUGUCACGUCUUUUGGUCAAAAUGCAUCAAGUCGUCAAACUUGUCGUGAAACUGGCAAUGAAUAGAAGCUUUGGUUUGUGAACAGUUGAGUGUUUUUGGUCUAGAUGAGCGAGUGGUUGUUGUUGUAAUACUUGUUUUGGCCACAAGAGGCUGACAUGCACCACGCAGGGUUUACUAGAUUGAAAGUAAUGCAUUGAAAAGCUUAAAUUCUGAAUAUAAAUGAUUGUUAAACAUCUUAACACCGAAGGUUUCUCCCCUUUGUAUCCGUGUUAAAGGGUUCCUCCUGAUCCGAUGUGAGGUCAAAGGUCAGGGAUGUGGUAGGAGUAACGAUUCUAAAGGCCUCUGAGGAUCAUUUGUGAUUUUAGGCUCUACAAAAUAAACUGAGUUGAAUCGUU